RNAcentral lists this long non-coding RNA (1683 nucleotides) under Populus trichocarpa (black cottonwood). RNAcentral describes it as "long non-coding RNA (PTRI_LNC002728)". The record is from RNAcentral. Lineage: Eukaryota; Viridiplantae; Streptophyta; Magnoliopsida; Malpighiales; Salicaceae.
AAGCCAGUUGCAGGAUGUUCAUUCAUUCAAGGCAGCCAGAAACCACAGUAGUGGGACUUGAGGGAUCAAAAUCGUAGCAGGUUUGCUGUGUUUUUGCCUCAUUCUCUCGGAUUUAUUUUUAUAGACACGGUUUACUAUUGCGUUCAAAAAAUAUUUAUUUUUUUUAAAUUAAUAUUUUUUUAUAUUUUUAAAUUAUUUUGAUGUUUUAAUAUUAAAAAAAAUUAAAAAAAAUUAAAAAAAAUUAUUUUAAUAUAUAUAUUUUUUAAAAAAACACUUUAAACAACUAUCAAAACCAGAUUCUCCCACCUAAAUCUGUCUGCUGCGGUCUAAAAAUACUGUGUCCAAACGGAUUCGCUAGCUCCGACCGCUUGCGAUCCAGCUUGAGCCACAUGCUGCAACAUCCUCGCGAAACAUAAGACUUGAACCAGAUGUUGGAUCUCCGGUCCAACGCUUAGUUUAAACCAUGCUACUGAAUUAUCCAUCCAUGUUCUUUGCUUGUAUUAGAAACACAGAAAAUAAUUGGAGAGAGUCGGUUUUGACCAUUUGUUCUUGCCUUUUACCUUCUGGUUUUCCUUUGUUUAGUGGGAGCUUGUUAUUUCUAUGCUCUUAUCAAUUAGAAAUUAGGGGAUGCUUUGUUUCUCUUCACUCCAUAAACCAGAUAUGAAGAACAGAAGAAUUGCGCAAAUAAAAUAACCCACAAAACUCAUAGAAGGAGAUUCUCAUAAGAAUAUAAACCUUGACAACUAGUUUUGUUCUAUAACUUUCUGUCAUACCAGUUCUUGUCAUCACCAACUCAGAAAUCUGAUGAUACCCAAUUCAUUAUUCCAUUCUGCAAAUAGAGAAAUCAGUUUAUCCUGUGCCAAACUUGCAUCAUGAACAACUUUCAUUAACAAUAAAACCACAGAAAUACAGUGCUUCCAUAAACAUAAUUCUAUGUUUUUUUUUUCUUUGCGCAGUGCUUUAAACCUCACAGUUACUAGAGCCUCCGCAAAGAUCUAAGAAACUAUACAUAGCAAGGAAAAGAAGCAAGAGCAGAAAAUAUGAUCCCAGAUAACAUUAGAGAAGCUAAUGUCAAAAAUGGCACCCACAACAAAGAUAAAAGAAGCACAGGGUAAUAACCAAGACAAUAGCCUCUAAAACAGACACGAGCUUGAAAAUCAAAUCAUCAAAAAAAGAAAGCUGUAUGUUAAGCCUUUUCCACUUAAAAGCAGAACCGAUAAACUUUAAUCUCCAUCCCCAUGAUUCCUUCAACUUUAACCUCCUAAAAAGCCAUAUUUUCCACUUCUUGCUGCUUUUGCUUCCCCUGCUGCUAUUUCCACUCCUUCCUAUAUCCCCUUCCAUUCAAAUUCUCUAUCUCUAAAAGGGUUUCUGGCGUUCUCUCUGUAAUAUGUGAUCUGUUGAGAGAGAGAGGAAUGGGAGUGCUGGUUAUAUUGGAGAGGGAGAUCAAGUUCGUUUUUUUAUUAAUGAAAACCUAACGGGGAGAAGUAGGGCUGUUCUUAUUAUUUUUUUUAUGGGGCCUGUUGAGGGUAUUUUGAUAAUUACAUAUAAUGAGGACUAGCUGACACGCGUUUGAUUGAUUUUUAUGUCAAAAAGUCAAAAAUUAUGUUCGAGGCGCCUUUUUUAAGGAAGGUGCUGUGAAAUGCUGGAAGAGUGGAUUCUAUUAGUGGUGUGGUUCAUAGAUGG